This 830-nucleotide ribosomal RNA is filed under the name Tetra martini. RNAcentral's name for it is "partial large subunit ribosomal RNA". It matches the Rfam family "Eukaryotic large subunit ribosomal RNA", at positions 366 to 912 of the family's 3401-position model. The record is from RNAcentral. Lineage: Eukaryota; Metazoa; Arthropoda; Arachnida; Trombidiformes; Eriophyidae.
AAAUAGUACUUUGCAGAGAGAGUUAACAGGGCGUGAACCGUUAAUUGGCAAACGAAUCGGAGCCACGAAGUCGUUUCGUUGAGAAGUUGGGUCGAGUUCAGUUGGUGAGGAAACUCAUUGGCGUAUUCUCGGUUCGACCAUCAUUGUAAGCGUACACUGCAACCAGUUAGACAAUUGGCCAUGGAAACAGUUUCAGCUCGUAGUAGUAGUAAUGUCCUAGGAUUUCGGUCUUAUGAUGUUGCUGACUAUGUGGCUGGUGGACUAUGGCCAAAUACUGACUGGAAAAAUGAAAAUAGUCGCAAGACUUGACACAAAAUGCGCAUUGCAACACUUGGGUCUACACAUUUGACCGUCAGGUUCAAGCUCAACGUCUUUGAAUUCGGACUUGCUUGCUACCAGUGGGGCAACUCCUGGUGCUUGUAUAGCUUCGUCUAAUCGGGCGUUGACUUAACUUGGCGUCGUUUGGAUGUGAAUCGUUUGGAUUUAAGUGUUAGUGGUGUCGCCAUUGAUUGGCAGUGAGUAGGUCGGCUUUCCGAACGACCCGUCUUGAAACACGGACCAAGGAGUCUAAUUAGGCAUCGAGUCGAUCGGUCUUGAAUAGGCCAGCAAGUUUAGAUUUAAACAAGAAGGCGAAGAGACAUGUGAUCGUAGGGCCAACAUCAGGCUCUUCGCGCAACAUGUGCCUGUUCGUAUAUGAGUGUGCAAUACUCAUGAGCGGAGCAAAGAGAUGCUUGAUUGGUACCCGAAAGAUGGUGAUGCCUGAGCAAAUUGAAGCCAGAGGAAACUCUGGUGGAGGAUUUAGUCUGACGUGCAAAUCGAUCGUCAGACUG